This 1556-nucleotide ribosomal RNA is filed under the name Salmonella enterica subsp. enterica serovar Heidelberg. RNAcentral describes it as "bacterial SSU rRNA". It matches the Rfam family "Bacterial small subunit ribosomal RNA". RNAcentral also lists the same sequence under 3 other names. The record is from RNAcentral. Lineage: Bacteria; Pseudomonadati; Pseudomonadota; Gammaproteobacteria; Enterobacterales; Enterobacteriaceae.
UUAAAUUGAAGAGUUUGAUCAUGGCUCAGAUUGAACGCUGGCGGCAGGCCUAACACAUGCAAGUCGAACGGUAACAGGAAGCAGCUUGCUGCUUUGCUGACGAGUGGCGGACGGGUGAGUAAUGUCUGGGAAACUGCCUGAUGGAGGGGGAUAACUACUGGAAACGGUGGCUAAUACCGCAUAACGUCGCAAGACCAAAGAGGGGGACCUUCGGGCCUCUUGCCAUCAGAUGUGCCCAGAUGGGAUUAGCUAGUUGGUGAGGUAACGGCUCACCAAGGCGACGAUCCCUAGCUGGUCUGAGAGGAUGACCAGCCACACUGGAACUGAGACACGGUCCAGACUCCUACGGGAGGCAGCAGUGGGGAAUAUUGCACAAUGGGCGCAAGCCUGAUGCAGCCAUGCCGCGUGUAUGAAGAAGGCCUUCGGGUUGUAAAGUACUUUCAGCGGGGAGGAAGGUGUUGUGGUUAAUAACCACAGCAAUUGACGUUACCCGCAGAAGAAGCACCGGCUAACUCCGUGCCAGCAGCCGCGGUAAUACGGAGGGUGCAAGCGUUAAUCGGAAUUACUGGGCGUAAAGCGCACGCAGGCGGUCUGUCAAGUCGGAUGUGAAAUCCCCGGGCUCAACCUGGGAACUGCAUUCGAAACUGGCAGGCUUGAGUCUUGUAGAGGGGGGUAGAAUUCCAGGUGUAGCGGUGAAAUGCGUAGAGAUCUGGAGGAAUACCGGUGGCGAAGGCGGCCCCCUGGACAAAGACUGACGCUCAGGUGCGAAAGCGUGGGGAGCAAACAGGAUUAGAUACCCUGGUAGUCCACGCCGUAAACGAUGUCUACUUGGAGGUUGUGCCCUUGAGGCGUGGCUUCCGGAGCUAACGCGUUAAGUAGACCGCCUGGGGAGUACGGCCGCAAGGUUAAAACUCAAAUGAAUUGACGGGGGCCCGCACAAGCGGUGGAGCAUGUGGUUUAAUUCGAUGCAACGCGAAGAACCUUACCUGGUCUUGACAUCCACAGAACUUUCCAGAGAUGGAUUGGUGCCUUCGGGAACUGUGAGACAGGUGCUGCAUGGCUGUCGUCAGCUCGUGUUGUGAAAUGUUGGGUUAAGUCCCGCAACGAGCGCAACCCUUAUCCUUUGUUGCCAGCGGUUAGGCCGGGAACUCAAAGGAGACUGCCAGUGAUAAACUGGAGGAAGGUGGGGAUGACGUCAAGUCAUCAUGGCCCUUACGACCAGGGCUACACACGUGCUACAAUGGCGCAUACAAAGAGAAGCGACCUCGCGAGAGCAAGCGGACCUCAUAAAGUGCGUCGUAGUCCGGAUUGGAGUCUGCAACUCGACUCCAUGAAGUCGGAAUCGCUAGUAAUCGUGGAUCAGAAUGCCACGGUGAAUACGUUCCCGGGCCUUGUACACACCGCCCGUCACACCAUGGGAGUGGGUUGCAAAAGAAGUAGGUAGCUUAACCUUCGGGAGGGCGCUUACCACUUUGUGAUUCAUGACUGGGGUGAAGUCGUAACAAGGUAACCGUAGGGGAACCUGCGGUUGGAUCACCUCCUUACCUUAAAGAAGC